GGCCGACUAGCUCAGUUGGUUAGAGCGUGGUGCUAAUAAGUUACGCCAAGGUCGUCGGUUCGACCCCGGCGUUGGCCA
Molecule: non-coding RNA, 78 nt
Organism: Trametes gibbosa
Lineage: Eukaryota; Fungi; Basidiomycota; Agaricomycetes; Polyporales; Polyporaceae
Source: the annotation of a GenBank genome assembly